Molecule: ribosomal RNA, 261 nt
Filed under: uncultured bacterium
Lineage: Bacteria
Description: partial 16S ribosomal RNA
Rfam family: Bacterial small subunit ribosomal RNA
Source: RNAcentral
UGAGUGGCGGACGGGUGAGUAACGCGUGGGCAACCUGGCCUGUACAGGGGGAUAACACUUAGAAAUAGGUGCUAAUACCGCAUAACGGGGGAAGCCGCAUGGCUUUUCCCUGAAAACUCCGGUGGUACAGGAUGGGCCCGCGUCUGAUUAGCCAGUUGGCAGGGUAACGGCCUACCAAAGCGACGAUCAGUGGCCGGCCUGAGAGGGCGGACGGCCACACUGGGACUGAGACACGGCCCAGACUCCUACGGGAGGCAGCAG